MicroRNA precursor from Chlorocebus sabaeus (green monkey), 98 nucleotides. Lineage: Eukaryota; Metazoa; Chordata; Mammalia; Primates; Cercopithecidae. The record is from Ensembl.
GUGUAGCAGGGCUGGGAGGAGAGGGUCCUGGAGAAACGCGGACAGGUCCAGGUGGGUUUUGGCAGGUCCUCACCCUCUCUAGGCCCCAUUCUCAUCUG